CGUUCGUCCUCCUCCUCGUCCACCUCCGACCAACUCCAACAAUCGCCAACCACCUCGAACAACCACCGAUAACCACCUCGGGUUGUACCUGGAACAGCAAUGAAUAUUUUCAGUAUAAGAAAAGAUCGAAAACAUUACGUAAGGAUUCAUAUAAUCACAGGUUCUGGUUUUUUGGCUGUAACUUCUGAUGCGUUGAUCGCAGCGUAUUGGGACUGCGCCCAAUCGAAUUCUCUCGUAAAAUUAGGUCGGAAUAAUGCAUGAAAUAAUUUAUUCCAGCACUUUACAAAGUGUUGAAAAU
This 298-nucleotide long non-coding RNA is filed under the name Neodiprion lecontei (redheaded pine sawfly). RNAcentral's name for it is "uncharacterized LOC124293322". The record is from RNAcentral. Lineage: Eukaryota; Metazoa; Arthropoda; Insecta; Hymenoptera; Diprionidae.